Molecule: ribosomal RNA, 477 nt
Filed under: uncultured bacterium
Lineage: Bacteria
Description: bacterial SSU rRNA
Rfam family: Bacterial small subunit ribosomal RNA
Source: RNAcentral
AUGAACGCUAGCGGCAGGCUUAACACAUGCAAGUCGAGGAGUAUAGUUCUUCGGAAUUAGAGACCGGCGCACGGGUGCGUAACGCGUAUGCAAUCUACCUUUCACAGAGGGAUAGCCCAGAGAAAUUUGGAUUAAUACCUCAUAGUAUAGCAGUUUCGCAUGAAACCACUAUUAAAGUCACAACGGUGAAAGAUGAGCAUGCGUCCCAUUAGCUAGUUGGUAAGGUAACGGCUUACCAAGGCAACGAUGGGUAGGGGUCCUGAGAGGGAGAUCCCCCACACUGGUACUGAGACGCGGACCAGACUCCUACGGGAGGCAGCAGUGAGGAAUAUUGGACAAUGGGCGCAAGCCUGAUCCAGCCAUGCCGCGUGCAGGAUGACGGUCCUAUGGAUUGUAAACUGCUUUUAUACAGGAAGAAACACUACUUCGUGAAGUAGCUUGACGGUACUGUAAGAAUAAGGAUCGGCUAACUCCGUG